Astatotilapia calliptera (eastern happy) is the source of this 1777-nucleotide long non-coding RNA. The record is from Ensembl. NCBI's taxonomy places the organism in Eukaryota, Metazoa, Chordata, Actinopteri, Cichliformes, Cichlidae.
UGGGUGCCUGGAUGUUAAACUCAAUUGUUACACCUGGUAGAACAGAACGCUGAUCAUUUUAUUAAAGAUGAAAGACUUUAGACAGUUUUUCAACUCUCAGUAAUGCCAUAGUGAUCGUUUGACAUGUGAACCUGCAGCGGAGUUUAGGUCCAGACACGGCUAGUGACGUCAGACUGAACAACCGGAUUGGUGUUAGAAUUUACCAUGUCAGCCAAUCAAAAAAAUGAUAUGGCAACAUGCGGCACUUGGUUGUUUAGGGAGAAGGUGCAGUUUUAGGAGUGACACCCGCGACGGAAAGCGGCGAGCAAAAGAAAGAGAACGCAAGUUUUCAUAUGUGAGACAUUAGUGAUGUUUAGCGUUUUUGGAGGCUAGAGUUGGUGUGUAGUGUAGUUAUUGUUUUGUAUUGUGUCAGUUAUACUGCUGAAUGUCACAUUUGCUCCAAAAAAGCCAUCAAAAGCAGAUUCUAGUGUAAACGCUGUUCCCACAGGGAAAACAGGACUGAUACACCUCCUGUUGUCAGACCUGCAGGGUUUAGGCCUGUGCUGUUCUCUUCUGUCUUAUACUGAACACAAACUUUUUUUUCUUUUCUUUUUUUUUUUUUGGACCGGCACAAAUAAUUUGUGUGCCUUCUUAUUUGCUGCAGAACACCUGAUUGUUCUGUAAAUAGAUUUAGAUGGUUAUAUAAAAAAUGCCUGAGGCCUUGGCUGCAUUUUUAGGUAAAUAGUACCAUAUAACUUUGUUUGCAAAACUUGUGCAUGAACCUGAAGUUCCCAAAUUGAUAUAAAAAAAAUUUUUUUUAGCAACACUAAAUGCGUUUUUAAAACAAAAUGUUAGGUUUCAAGUUUAGGAGAAAAGUUGCUUCAACUAAGUUAUCCAUCAGAACCUAAAAAUCUAAAUGCAGUGGGUUGCCUUGAGUUUAAGUUUUCGCAACAAUUUUUUAUUUUUGUAUUUAUUAAUUUUACAGUGUUGAUGCUGUGCUCACAUGGGCUACAAAGAAAUCGCACUACAAACCUUCUAAAAAAAAAAACUCCACAGGUAUCUUUGACGAAACACCUGUUGUCUGACGACACAAUCAAAGAUCUGCACAUCAAUGGAAAAAAAUCUCGAAAGGGCCACCUAAACAUAAUAUAUAAUGUUCUGACUGAGAGACGUUUUGAAAAAAUUUAAACGUACAGCUCUGCUAUCACUUCCAACAUAAAUGAAGACAGAAAACUAAACAGCAGUGACUUUUUUUUUUUUUUUGGGGUUACUGAGGUUGGACUAGCUGGUACAUAAUGAUGUACUACGAGAUCACUAGCGAUACAGCUAUGUUAGCAUAACAUAAACACAGUGAAGCUGGAGGAUGAAAGCUAACCUUUUUCCAUUCGAUAAAAUUUAUGUGAGGGUUCCCAAAGGUUAGGGACGAAUUCAAUCGCAUGGCAGGAUGCUGUUGCAGAUUAAACGGCGCCUCUUCACAGCUCUGUGGGCACACAAUAGAAGUACUACAAGGACAUAGGGAAAAGGGACAAAGAGGGGAGGGAUAUAAAAUAUUCCAAAUGUUUCUUGAAUUGUUAGCACAGUGUAUAUGUGUAUGUAUCUAUCCAUCGAUUCACUUACGCCAGGGGUGGGCAAAUCCAGUCCCAGAGGGCCGGUGUCCUGCAGGUUUUAGAUCUCACCUUGGGUCAACACACCUGAAUCGCAUGAUUAGUUCGUUACCAGGCCUCUGGAGAACUUCAGGACAUUUUCAGGAGCUAAUUUAGCCAUUUAUAUCAGCUGUGUUGGUUCAAGGACACAUCUA